RNAcentral lists this ribosomal RNA (497 nucleotides) under uncultured bacterium. Its description in RNAcentral is "partial 16S ribosomal RNA". It matches the Rfam family "Bacterial small subunit ribosomal RNA", at positions 28 to 507 of the family's 1533-position model. The record is from RNAcentral.
GAUGAACGCUGGCGGCGUGCCUAAUACAUGCAAGUCGAGCGAACAGACGAGGAGCUUGCUCCUCUGACGUUAGCGGCGGACGGAAGAGUAACACGUGGAUAACCUACCUAUAAGACUGGGAUAACUUCGGGAAACCGGAGCUAAUACCGGAUAAUAUAUUGAACCGCAUGGUUCAAUAGUGAAAGACGGUUUUGCUGUCACUUAUAGAUGGAUCCGCGCCGCAUUAGCUAGUUGGUAAGGUAACGGCUUAACAAGGCAACGAUGCGUAGCCGACCUGAGAGGGUGAUCGGCCACCCGGGAACUGAGACACGGCACAGACUCCGACGGGAGGCAGCAGUAGGGAAUCUUCCGCGAGGGGCGAAAGGCUGACGGAGCAACGUCGGGUGAAUGAUGAAGGUCUUCGGAUGGUAAAACUCUGUUAGUAGGGAAGAACAAAUGUGUAAGUAACUAUGCACGUCUUGACGGUACCUAAACAGAAAGCCACGGCUAACUACGUG